RNAcentral lists this unclassified non-coding RNA (161 nucleotides) under Drosophila erecta. RNAcentral describes it as "GG21836". Lineage: Eukaryota; Metazoa; Arthropoda; Insecta; Diptera; Drosophilidae. The record is from RNAcentral.
ACCACUACUCAAGGUCCAUGGUGGGGAAACACCACUACUCAAGGUCCAUGGUGGGGAAAUAACUCUACUCAAGGUCCAUGGUGGGGAAACAACUCAACCGAAGGUCCAUGGUGGGGAAACAACUCAACCGAAGGUCCAUGGUGGGGAAACAACUCAACCGA